UUAAGCGACUAAGCGUACACGGUGGAUGCCCUGGCAGUCAGAGGCGAUGAAGGACGUGCUAAUCUGCGAAAAGCGUCGGUAAGGUGAUAUGAACCGUUAUAACCGGCGAUGUCCGAAUGGGGAAACCCAGUGCAAUUCGUUGCACUAUCGUUAACUGAAUACAUAGGUUAACGAGGCGAACCGGGGGAACUGAAACAUCUAAGUACCCCGAGGAAAAGAAAUCAACCGAGAUUCCCCCAGUAGCGGCGAGCGAACGGGGAGCAGCCCAGAGUCUGAAUCAGCUUGUGUGUUAGUGGAACGGUCUGGAAAGUCCGACGGUACAGGGUGAUAGUCCCGUACACCAAAAUGCACAGGUUGUGAACUCGAAGAGUAGGGCGGGACACGUGGUAUCCUGUCUGAAUAUGGGGGGACCAUCCUCCAAGGCUAAAUACUCCUGACUGACCGAUAGUGAACCAGUACCGUGAGGGAAAGGCGAAAAGAACCCCGGCGAGGGGAGUGAAAAAGAACCUGAAACCGUGUACGUACAAGCAGUGGGAGCACCUUCGGGUGUGACUGCGUACCUUUUGUAUAAUGGGUCAGCGACUUAUAUUCUGUAGCAAGGUUAACCGUAUAGGGGAGCCGCAGGGAAACCGAGUCUUAACUGGGCGUUAAGUUGCAGGGUAUAGACCCGAAACCCGGUGAUCUAGCCAUGGGCAGGUUGAAGGUUGGGUAACACUAACUGGAGGACCGAACCGACUAAUGUUGAAAAAUUAGCGGAUGACUUGUGGCUGGGGGUGAAAGGCCAAUCAAACCGGGAGAUAGCUGGUUCUCCCCGAAAGCUAUUUAGGUAGCGCCUCGUGAACUCAUCUUCGGGGGUAGAGCACUGUUUCGGCUAGGGGGUCAUCCCGACUUACCAACCCGAUGCAAACUACGAAUACCGAAGAAUGUUAUCACGGGAGACACACGGCGGGUGCUAACGUCCGUCGUGAAGAGGGAAACAACCCAGACCGCCAGCUAAGGUCCCAAAGUCAUGGUUAAGUGGGAAACGAUGUGGGAAGGCACAGACAGCCAGGAUGUUGGCUUAGAAGCAGCCAUCAUUUAAAGAAAGCGUAAUAGCUCACUGGUCGAGUCGGCCUGCGCGGAAGAUGUAACGGGGCUAAACCAUGCACCGAAGCUGCGGCAGCGACACUAUGUGUUGUUGGGUAGGGGAGCGUUCUGUAAGCCUGCGAAGGUGUGCUGUGAGGCAUGCUGGAGGUAUCAGAAGUGCGAAUGCUGACAUAAGUAACGAUAAAGCGGGUGAAAAGCCCGCUCGCCGGAAGACCAAGGGUUCCUGUCCAACGUUAAUCGGGGCAGGGUGAGUCGACCCCUAAGGCGAGGCCGAAAGGCGUAGUCGAUGGGAAACAGGUUAAUAUUCCUGUACUUGGUGUUACUGCGAAGGGGGGACGGAGAAGGCUAUGUUAGCCGGGCGACGGUUGUCCCGGUUUAAGCAUGUAGGCUGGUUAUCCAGGCAAAUCCGGAUAAUCAAGGCUGAGGUGUGAUGACGAGGCACUACGGUGCUGAAGUAACAAAUGCCCUGCUUCCAGGAAAAGCCUCUAAGCAUCAGGUAACAUCAAAUCGUACCCCAAACCGACACAGGUGGUCAGGUAGAGAAUACCAAGGCGCUUGAGAGAACUCGGGUGAAGGAACUAGGCAAAAUGGUGCCGUAACUUCGGGAGAAGGCACGCUGGUGUGUAGGUGAAGCCCCUGCGGGUGGAGCUGAGACCAGUCGAAGAUACCAGCUGGCUGCAACUGUUUAUUAAAAACACAGCACUGUGCAAACACGAAAGUGGACGUAUACGGUGUGACGCCUGCCCGGUGCCGGAAGGUUAAUUGAUGGGGUUAUCCGUAAGGAGAAGCUCUUGAUCGAAGCCCCGGUAAACGGCGGCCGUAACUAUAACGGUCCUAAGGUAGCGAAAUUCCUUGUCGGGUAAGUUCCGACCUGCACGAAUGGCGUAAUGAUGGCCAGGCUGUCUCCACCCGAGACUCAGUGAAAUUGAACUCGCUGUGAAGAUGCAGUGUACCCGCGGCAAGACGGAAAGACCCCGUGAACCUUUACUAUAGCUUGACACUGAACAUUGAGCCUUGAUGUGUAGGAUAGGUGGGAGGCUUUGAAGCGUGGACGCCAGUCUGCGUGGAGCCAACCUUGAAAUACCACCCUUUAAUGUUUGAUGUUCUAACGUUGGCCCCU
This 2206-nucleotide ribosomal RNA is filed under the name Klebsiella pneumoniae. RNAcentral describes it as "bacterial LSU rRNA". It matches the Rfam family "Bacterial large subunit ribosomal RNA", at positions 1 to 2236 of the family's 2925-position model. The record is from RNAcentral. Lineage: Bacteria; Pseudomonadati; Pseudomonadota; Gammaproteobacteria; Enterobacterales; Enterobacteriaceae.